RNAcentral lists this ribosomal RNA (17 nucleotides) under Ficus sarmentosa. RNAcentral describes it as "partial 18S ribosomal RNA". Lineage: Eukaryota; Viridiplantae; Streptophyta; Magnoliopsida; Rosales; Moraceae. The record is from RNAcentral. RNAcentral also lists the same sequence under 1 other name.
CAGAGAGACCCGCGAAC